Molecule: small nuclear RNA, 147 nt
Filed under: Cebus imitator (Panamanian white-faced capuchin)
Lineage: Eukaryota; Metazoa; Chordata; Mammalia; Primates; Cebidae
Description: U1 spliceosomal RNA (ENSCCAG00000000628.1)
Rfam family: U1 spliceosomal RNA
About the family: U1 is a small nuclear RNA (snRNA) component of the spliceosome (involved in pre-mRNA splicing). Its 5' end forms complementary base pairs with the 5' splice junction, thus defining the 5' donor site of an intron.
Source: RNAcentral
AUACUUACCUGGCAGGGGGGAUACCAUGAUCAUGAAGGUGGUUUUCCCAGGGCAAAGCUUAUCCAUUGCACUCCAGAUGUGCUGACCCCUGCGAUUUCCCCAAAUGUGGGAAACUCGACUGUAUAACUAAAAUUUUAAAAAUUUUAA